Molecule: ribosomal RNA, 251 nt
Filed under: uncultured bacterium
Lineage: Bacteria
Description: partial 16S ribosomal RNA
Rfam family: Bacterial small subunit ribosomal RNA
Source: RNAcentral
UACAGAGGGGGCAAGCGUUGUUCGGAAUUACUGGGCGUAAAGGGCGCGUAGGCGGCCUUCUAAGUCGAACGUGAAAUCCCUGGGCUCAACCCAGGAACUGCGUCCGAUACUGGGAGGCUUGAAUCCGGGAGAGGGAUGCGGAAUUCCAGGUGUAGCGGUGAAAUGCGUAGAUAUCUGGAGGAACACCGGUGGCGAAGGCGGCAUCCUGGACCGGUAUUGACGCUGAGGCGCGAAAGCCAGGGAGCAACGGG